AUGGAGCGAGACCCAGCCCGGCCUGGGCCCUCACUCCCCAGGCCCACACACUAGCCCACUGUUCAGGGUCCGGGGUGGCAGCAUGGCCUGGGGGUCCUGGCACCGCUGCUCCUCUGCCCACCCUAACUUCCCGGCAUGGCGGCUGCCCCCUCUGAGCGUCCCCAACCAAACUGCAGGGGAUAUGAAGCAAGCUGGACUUGGGGAGACAUCUCUGCUCGAGUGCACGUUGGCCUGAUGACGACUGCUCUUGGGUUCACGGGUUCCAGGCUCUGCCCGGGAGCCUCAUGCAAACUGGUCCCGUUCUACAGACGAGGAAACUGAGGCACAGAGUGAUUACGGCUGUCCCUGAGCUCCUGCAGCCAGUAAGUGUCUCUGAGGAUGAACUGCCAUGUGCCCGGCGGGGAUGCCGUCCCUGGCCCUUGCUGAGUGCCUCUGGGACGAGGUCAGCUGAGCCUGCCAUCCUAACUCAGACACCAUCUCACUCUCCAAGUCCCUUCUCGGCCCAGCAAAUUCUCACCUCCAGAGGCCAGGUCUGCCCCGCAGGUCUUAGGAAAUACAGCCCUACUUCCAUCCAGCACACCAACCCAAGGAAGUGCCUCGGAGCCCUGGGGCCCGAGGGGGGCCUGGCCUUGGUCUCACGGCGGCAGCUCCACCUGGAGAGGAGUGAACUCAAGCCAGGACGCCCCGUCUCCACAGCGGAAACCGUGUUGCCGGCUGCUCCCUCCUGGGGACUCUGGGCCUGAGGUUCCUGUGGGAGUUGGGGGGAUAGCUGAGUCCUAUGGAGGUGCCCCUCUCCUCCCCGCCCAGUGGAGCUUGGGGUGGGGACAGGCGAAGACAGGGUGAGAAGCACGGGGCAUUCCCCCUCCACACAGCGCUGAGAAAGUAAGGGAGCAUCCAGAAAACGGUGCCCACUUCCGCGUCAGGCGGAUAUCACGGGCACCAGCUCCAGGUGACCCUAGCCCAGCCAGAGAACAAGGACCAGGUUGUGCCGCAAAGCCCGUGUCCGCUCCCUCCCGCCUGGGACCACUGUGGCGAGGGGAAGGGAGCGUGGUGGCCCUCUCCUGACUCCUGAGGCCUGAAGUCCAAGCUCCCGGCCCUCAGGCAGGCCAGGGUCUAGACACCGCUGCCCCAAACACACCCCCCAGUCCCCGCCCGCAGGCUUCCUGCAGGAUCCCCCAGUGCACCUGGGGGCUGAGGAGAGUGAGCAGGGCGCAAAGAAGCUUCGUCGGGAGGGCGGUCCCCACCCGCCUUGGACCCCCGGGGAUAGUGUCCUGGGGCCUGGGCUCAGAUGCACCCUGGGAGGAAUGGUGCGGAGGCUGUUUUUUGCUCCAAGAGGACAUUGCCUCAGCAGAGGGCUGCCGAGCUGGGAGGACCCACAGUGCAAGGCCGCAGAACCCCCUAGGAAGCCUCAGAGCCUUCAGGUUCCGGGCUGAGGCUGUGGGCGUGGACCCUUGUGCAAACCCCACUGGAAGAAAAACCUUACAGCUCAGGAGGAGGAGGGGCCCCACCCGCUCCCAGAGCCCGUAAACGAGGGGUGGUGCCCACAUGAGGCCUGGGGAAGGGCUGGGGCUGGGACACCCCCUCACCACCCCCAGAUACCCCAGGCAGCCCCUCCCUCCACAGAGAGACCCACUGGGCCUGACCCUGCCCUGGGCACAGGGUCGAGCCAGGGACGGCCCGUGGGAGAAAGACGGCUUCAUGGGCCGCUGGCCGGGCCAGGUGCGUCCUUCCCCAGUUCUAGGUGGCAAAUGGGGUGGGGCCAGAGCCUUCUGGCUAGGGAAGACACUGGCCUGGUUGGUGUGGCAGGGGCAGCGAAGGAGGGUCAAAGGCCACUCUGGCCUGGAAGAGUCCCCAGCCACCUGGACGGGGGUAGCCAGGCCUGGUCCCUGCCCCCACUCUCCAAGGGGUCGGGGCAGCCGGGCAGAGCCAGUAAGUGUUUGUUUUCAGAU
Molecule: long non-coding RNA, 1949 nt
Organism: Homo sapiens (human)
Lineage: Eukaryota; Metazoa; Chordata; Mammalia; Primates; Hominidae
Gene: MRPL23-AS1
Product: MRPL23 antisense RNA 1
Source: Ensembl